This 334-nucleotide unclassified non-coding RNA is filed under the name soil metagenome. RNAcentral's name for it is "partial contains 5.8S ribosomal RNA, internal transcribed spacer 2, and large subunit ribosomal RNA". The stretch from base 1 to 120 matches the Rfam family "5.8S ribosomal RNA", at positions 35 to 154 of the family's 154-position model. The record is from RNAcentral.
GAUGAAGAACGCAGCGAAGUGCGAUAAGUAAUGUGAAUUGCAGAAUUCAGUGAAUCAUCGAAUCUUUGAACGCACAUUGCGCCCCCCAGUAUUCUGGCGGGCAUGCCUGUUCGAGCGUCAUUUCAACCAUCAAGCCCUGCUUGUGUUGGGGUCCUGCGGCUGCCCGCAGGCCCUGAAAACCAGUGGCGGGCUCGCUAGUCACACCGAGCGCAGUGGCACAUCUCGCUCAGGGCGUGCGGCGGGCUCCAGCCGUUAAAGCACCCACCUUUCGCAAGGUUGACCUCGGAUCAGGUAGGGAUACCCGCUGAACUUAAGCAUAUCAAUAAGCGGAGGA